This 376-nucleotide ribosomal RNA is filed under the name uncultured bacterium. RNAcentral's name for it is "bacterial SSU rRNA". It matches the Rfam family "Bacterial small subunit ribosomal RNA", at positions 1131 to 1506 of the family's 1533-position model. The record is from RNAcentral.
UCUCACUUNUAAGGNCGGCUGCCGUUGACAAAACGGAGGAAGGUGGGGACGACGUCAAAUCAUCAUGCCCCUUAUGUCCUGGGCUACACACGUAAUACAAUGGCGGUCAACAGAGGGAUGCAAAACCGUGAGGUGGAGGCAACCCCUAAAAGCCGUCCCAGUUCAGAUUGUGGGCUGCAACCCGCCUGCGUGAAGUCGGAAUCGCUAGUAAUCGCGGAUCAGCAUGCCGCGGUGAAUACGUUCCCGGGCCUUGUACACACCGCCCGUCACACCAUGAGAGUCGGGAACACCCGAAGUCCGUAGCCUAACCGAAAGGAGGGCGCGGUCGAAGGUGGGUUCGAUAAUUGGGGUGAAGUCGUAACAGGGUAACCGUAUA